RNAcentral lists this ribosomal RNA (237 nucleotides) under Clostridioides difficile. Its description in RNAcentral is "partial 23S ribosomal RNA". It matches the Rfam family "Bacterial large subunit ribosomal RNA", at positions 1115 to 1359 of the family's 2925-position model. Lineage: Bacteria; Bacillati; Bacillota; Clostridia; Peptostreptococcales; Peptostreptococcaceae. The record is from RNAcentral.
GCCACUCAUUCAAAGAGUGCGUAAUAGCUCACUGGUCGAGUGAUCCUGCGCCGAAGAUUUCCGGGGCUAAAACUUACUACCGAAGCUACGGCAUCAGGAAUGAUGGGUAGGGGAGCUUCCCAUACGGGUUGAAGCAUGACCGUAAGGACAUGUGGACAGGAUGGGAGUGAGAAUGUUGGCAUGAGUAGCGAGAUGUGGGUGAGAAUCCCACAGGCCGUAAACCCAAGGUUUCCAGGG